This 1307-nucleotide ribosomal RNA is filed under the name Upretia squamulosa. RNAcentral's name for it is "partial large subunit ribosomal RNA". It matches the Rfam family "Eukaryotic large subunit ribosomal RNA", at positions 58 to 1400 of the family's 3401-position model. The record is from RNAcentral. Lineage: Eukaryota; Fungi; Ascomycota; Lecanoromycetes; Teloschistales; Teloschistaceae.
GAAGAGCAACAGGGAUUGCCUCAGUAACGGCGAGUGAAGCGGCAACAGCUCAAAUUUAAAAUCUGACCUUAAAAUACGGGGUCCGAAUUGUAAUUUGUAGAGGAUGUUUCGGGUGCGGCGCCGGUCUAAGUCUCUUGGAACGGGGCGUCAUAAAGGGUGAAAAUCCCGUAUGUGAUCGGCGACCAAGCCCGUGUGAAACUCCUUCCACGAAUCCAGUUGUUUGGGAAUGCAGCUCAAAAUGGGUGGUAAAUUUCAUCUAAAGCUAAAUACCGGCCAGAAACCGAUAGCGCACAAGUAGAGUGAUCGAAAGAUGAAAAGCACUUUGAAAAGAAAGUCAAAAAGUACGUGAAAUUGUUGAAAGGGAAGCGCUUGCAACCAGACCUGCCCGCGGGUGAUCAGCCGUCCUUCUGGGCGGUGCAUGCGCCCGCGAACAGGCCAGCAUCGGUUCGGGCGGCCGGAUAAAGGCCUUGGGAACGAACUCCCUUCGGGGAGUGUUAUAGCCCUCGGCGCAAUGCGGCCAGCCUGGACCGAGGACCGCGCUUCGCUAGGAUGCUGGCGUAAUGGUUGUAAGCGGCCCGUCUUGAAACACGGACCAAGGAGUCUAACAUCUAUGCGAGUGUUUGGGUGUCAAACCCAUCCGCGCAAUGAAAGUGAAUGGAGGUGGGAACCUUCGGGGCGCACCAUCGACCGAUCCGGAUGUCCUCGGAUGGAUUUGAGUAUGAGCAUAGCUGUUGGGACCCGAAAGAUGGUGAACUAUGCCUGGAUAGGGUGAACCCAGAGGAAACUCUGGUGGAGGCUCGCAGCGGUUCUGACGUGCAAAUCGAUCGUCAAAUUUGGGUAUAGGGGCGUGCUUUCGCCUCUGAUAGCCGUGCUUUUGCUGGCAUGGUCCUAGUUUUUCGGGGCGAGGUUCACGAUCUGCGGGGAUGCUCAGGGUCCCCUGGGCUGCCCGCACCCACCUAUAUCGUUAGGCGGGUCACAGGUCAAGCGUGAACCGGCGGUCGACGGCCGUUUUCGAUAUGAUCGGGCCGCAGCUGCUGAAGCUGCGGGGCGCCGGAAAGAAUAAUCGACCCAUUGAUGUGCUAGGUGGUUAACUGGUUAAAUACUUCCAGUCCGGGCGAUGUUCCGGGCGACAUCACUAUCUGCAUGGACGGCUUCCUCUCUGGGAAAGCCCGAUAUGCUGCGGCCCCGCCGAUCGGUGGGCUGUACACAGACCAAAUAGUGAUGGCUUGUCGGGGCCCUUCGGGGCGUCGAUGGGUUCUGAUAUGGCCGAGUCCGCCCCGUACAACGGGCGCGGAUCGUCGUCGAUU